This 519-nucleotide ribosomal RNA is filed under the name uncultured eukaryote. Its description in RNAcentral is "SSU rRNA". It matches the Rfam family "Eukaryotic small subunit ribosomal RNA", at positions 1161 to 1703 of the family's 1831-position model. The record is from RNAcentral.
AGGGCACCACCAGGAGUGGAGCCUGCGGCUUAAUUUGACUCAACACGGGAAAACUCACCCGGCCCGGACACCGUAAGGAUUGACAGACUGAGAGCUCUUUCUUAAUUCGGUGGGUGGUGGUGCAUGGCCGUUCUUAGUUGGUGGAGCGAUUUGUCUGGUUAAUUCCGAUAACGAACGAGACUCUGGCCUAUUAAAUAGACGAUAUAUCUAUCUAGUAUAUCGCGCUUCUUAGAGGGACAAGCGGCGUCCAGCCGCAUGAAAUAGAGCAAUAACAGGUCUGUGAUGCCCUUAGAUGUCCGGGGCUGCACGCGCGCUACACUGAAAGAAUCAGCGUGCGUUUUACCUAGUUCGGAAGAACCGGGUAACCCAAGUAGAUUCUUUCGUGCUUGGGAUAGGGAAUUGCAAUUAUUUCCCUUGAACGAGGAAUUCCCAGUAAAUGCGGGUCAUAAGCUCGCGUUGAUUACGUCCCUGCCCUUUGUACACACCGCCCGUCGCUACUACCGAUUGGAUGACUUAGUG